CCUACGGGAGGCAGCAGUGAGGAAUAUUGGUCAAUGGACGAGAGUCUGAACCAGCCAAGUAGCGUGAAGGAUGACUGCCCUAUGGGUUGUAAACUUCUUUUAUAAAGGAAUAAAACGAGGCACGUGUGCCUUUUUGCAUGUACUUUAUGAAUAAGGCUCGGCUAACUCCGUGCCAGCAGCCGCGGUAAUACGGAGGAUCCGAGCGUUAUCCGGAUUUAUUGGGUUUAAAGGGAGCGUAGAUGGGUUGUUAAGUCAGUUGUGAAAGUUUGCGGCUAAACCGUAAAAUUGCAAUUGAUACUGGCAGUCUCGAGUACAGUUGAGGUAGGCGGAAUUCGUGGUGUAGCGGUGAAAUGCUUAGAUAUCACGAAGAACCCCGAUUGCGAAGGCAGCUUACUAAACUGUGACUGACAUUGAUGCUCGAAAGUGUGGGUAUCAAACAGGAUUAGAUACCCCUGUAGUC
Molecule: ribosomal RNA, 460 nt
Filed under: uncultured bacterium
Lineage: Bacteria
Description: partial 16S ribosomal RNA
Rfam family: Bacterial small subunit ribosomal RNA
Source: RNAcentral